CAGCCGCCGCGGUAAUACGUAGGGUGCGAGCGUUAAUCGGAUUUACUGGGCGUAAAGCGUGCGCAGGCGGCCCGUUAAGACAGGUGUGAAAUCCCUGGGCUCAACCUAGGAAUUGCGCUUGUGACUGGCGGGCUCGAGUACGGUAGAGGGGGGUGGAAUUCCUGGUGUAGCAGUGAAAUGCGUAGAGAUCAGGAGGAACACCGAUGGCGAAGGCAGCCCCCUGGGCCUGUACUGACGCUCAUGCACGAAAGCGUGGGGAGCAAACAGGAUUAGAUACCCUGGUAGUCCACGCCCUAAACGAUGGGUACUAGCCGUUUGGUGCGCGAUAGCGCUGAGUGGCGAAGCUAACGCGUGAAGUACCCCGCCUUGGGAGUACGGCCGCAAGGUUGAAACUUAAAGGAAUUGGCGGG
This 410-nucleotide ribosomal RNA is filed under the name uncultured microorganism. RNAcentral's name for it is "bacterial SSU rRNA". It matches the Rfam family "Bacterial small subunit ribosomal RNA", at positions 509 to 917 of the family's 1533-position model. The record is from RNAcentral.